RNAcentral lists this ribosomal RNA (468 nucleotides) under uncultured bacterium. RNAcentral's name for it is "partial 16S ribosomal RNA". It matches the Rfam family "Bacterial small subunit ribosomal RNA", at positions 28 to 507 of the family's 1533-position model. The record is from RNAcentral.
GACGAACGCUGGCGGCGUGCUUAACACAUGCAAGUCGAACGGAAAGGCCCUGCUUUUGUGGGGUGCUCGAGUGGCGAACGGGUGAGUAACACGUGAGUAACCUGCCCUUGACUUUGGGAUAACUUCAGGAAACUGGGGCUAAUACCGGAUAGGAGCUCCUGCUGCAUGGUGGGGGUUGGAAAGUUUCGGCGGUUGGGGAUGGACUCGCGGCUUAUCAGCUUGUUGGUGGGGUAGUGGCUUACCAAGGCUUUGACGGGUAGCCGGCCUGAGAGGGUGACCGGCCACAUUGGGAAUGAGGUACGGCCCAGACUCCUACGGGAGGCAGCAGUGGGGAAUAUUGCAGAAUGGGCGGAAGCCUGAUGCAGCAACGCCGCGUGCGGGAUGACGGCCGUCGGGUUGUAAACCGCUUUCGCCUGUGACGAAGCGUGAGUGACGGUAAUGGGUAAAGAAGCACCGGCUAACUACGUG